RNAcentral lists this ribosomal RNA (499 nucleotides) under Listeria seeligeri. RNAcentral describes it as "bacterial SSU rRNA". It matches the Rfam family "Bacterial small subunit ribosomal RNA", at positions 24 to 504 of the family's 1533-position model. Lineage: Bacteria; Bacillati; Bacillota; Bacilli; Caryophanales; Listeriaceae. The record is from RNAcentral.
UCAGGACGAACGCUGGCGGCGUGCCUAAUACAUGCAAGUCGAACGAACGGAGGAAGAGCUUGCUCUUCCAAAGUUAGUGGCGGACGGGUGAGUAACACGUGGGCAACCUGCCUGUAAGUUGGGGAUAACUCCGGGAAACCGGGGCUAAUACCGAAUGAUAAGGAGUGACGCAUGUCACUGCUUUGAAAGAUGGUUUCGGCUAUCGCUUACAGAUGGGCCCGCGGUGCAUUAGCUAGUUGGUAGGGUAAAGGCCUACCAAGGCAACGAUGCAUAGCCGACCUGAGAGGGUGAUCGGCCACACUGGGACUGAGACACGGCCCAGACUCCUACGGGAGGCAGCAGUAGGGAAUCUUCCGCAAUGGACGAAAGUCUGACGGAGCAACGCCGCGUGUAUGAAGAAGGUUUUCGGAUCGUAAAGUACUGUUGUUAGAGAAGAACAAGGAUAAGAGUAACUGCUUGUCCCUUGACGGUAUCUAACCAGAAAGCCACGGCUAACUAC